GCCGAAGUGGCGGAACUGGCAGACGCGUGCGACUCAAACUCGCAAGCCCGUAAGGGUGUGAGGGUUCGAUUCCCUCCUUCGGCA
Molecule: transfer RNA, 84 nt
Filed under: Chloroflexota bacterium
Lineage: Bacteria; Bacillati; Chloroflexota
Description: Chloroflexi bacterium tRNA-Leu
Rfam family: tRNA
About the family: Transfer RNA (tRNA) molecules are approximately 80 nucleotides in length.
Source: RNAcentral